GGGAUGUAGCUCAGUGGUAGAGCACUUACUUAGUGUGGAUGAGGCCUUGGGUUUAAUCCCAGUGCCAUCA
RNAcentral lists this transfer RNA (70 nucleotides) under Marmota monax (woodchuck). Its description in RNAcentral is "tRNA.Thr". Lineage: Eukaryota; Metazoa; Chordata; Mammalia; Rodentia; Sciuridae. The record is from RNAcentral.